AAUCCAUGACGUGGACACGAUCUAAGCAUACUUUUAAAUCAAUCCCAUGCUUCAUAAAAUGAUUUUGUAUUAGUCUGUUUGAAGUUGGCAAUCUGAUUUCUCAUGUGUGU
Zingiber officinale is the source of this 110-nucleotide small nucleolar RNA. Lineage: Eukaryota; Viridiplantae; Streptophyta; Magnoliopsida; Zingiberales; Zingiberaceae. The record is from RefSeq and is a predicted model, not a curated record.